GAAGUGUCUGGAAAGGCGCGCGAUACAGGGUGACAGCCCCGUACACAAAAAUGCACAUGCUGUGAGCUCGAUGAGUAGGGCGGGACACGUGGUAUCCUGUCUGAAUAUGGGGGGACCAUCCUCCAAGGCUAAAUACUCCUGACUGACCGAUAGUGAACCAGUACCGUGAGGGAAAGGCGAAAAGAACCCCGGCGAGGGGAGUGAAAAAGAACCUGAAACCGUGUACGUACAAGCAGUGGGAGCACGCUUCGGCGUGUGACUGCGUACCUUUUGUAUAAUGGGUCAGCGACUUAUAUUCUGUAGCAAGGUUAACCGAAUAGGGGAGCCGAAGGGAAACCGAGUCUUAACUGGGCGUUAAGUUGCAGGGUAUAGACCCGAAACCCGGUGAUCUAGCCAUGGGCAGGUUGAAGGUUGGGUAACACUAACUGGAGGACCGAACCGACUAAUGUUGAAAAAUUAGCGGAUGACUUGUGGCUGGGGGUGAAAGGCCAAUCAAACCGGGAGAUAGCUGGUUCUCCCCGAAAGCUAUUUAGGUAGCGCCUCGUGAAUUCAUCUCCGGGGGUAGAGCACUGUUUCGGCAAGGGGGUCAUCCCGACUUACCAACCCGAUGCAAACUGCGAAUACCGGAGAAUGUUAUCACGGGAGACACACGGCGGGUGCUAACGUCCGUCGUGAAGAGGGAAACAACCCAGACCGCCAGCUAAGGUCCCAAAGUCAUGGUUAAGUGGGAAACGAUGUGGGAAGGCCCAGACAGCCAGGAUGUUGGCUUAGAAGCAGCCAUCAUUUAAAGAAAGCGUAAUAGCUCACUGGUCGAGUCGGCCUGCGCGGAAGAUGUAACGGGGCUAAACCAUG
RNAcentral lists this ribosomal RNA (852 nucleotides) under Escherichia coli. Its description in RNAcentral is "partial 23S ribosomal RNA". It matches the Rfam family "Bacterial large subunit ribosomal RNA", at positions 335 to 1191 of the family's 2925-position model. The record is from RNAcentral. Lineage: Bacteria; Pseudomonadati; Pseudomonadota; Gammaproteobacteria; Enterobacterales; Enterobacteriaceae.